UCCCUCCAGCUCCCUUUCCCAUCAGAUCUGAACACUGGUCUUGGUGGUCGUAAAGGAGGAAAAGACAUGCUGAAGCCAGCCUCACAGCCUGAUAGUAUAGUAUAUAGUAUGUGGGCUAGAUGCAAACAAGG
Molecule: small nucleolar RNA, 131 nt
Organism: Octodon degus (degu)
Lineage: Eukaryota; Metazoa; Chordata; Mammalia; Rodentia; Octodontidae
Source: Ensembl